AAGUCGUAACAAGGUCUCCGUAGGUGAACCUGCGGAGGGAUCAUUACCGAGUGAGGGGCCACAACCCCGACCUCCCACCCUUUGUUAAUCAAACCACGUUGCUUCGGGGUGGACCUAUUCGCUUAGGGCCCGGCAGGACCGUUCAACUCUGCAUCAUUGCGUCGGAGUCAAAUACAAAUGAAAUCAAAA
Molecule: unclassified non-coding RNA, 189 nt
Filed under: plant metagenome
Description: partial contains small subunit ribosomal RNA and internal transcribed spacer 1
Rfam family: Eukaryotic small subunit ribosomal RNA (bases 1-46)
Source: RNAcentral